UGAACGCUGGCGGCGUGCCUACCACAUGCACGUCGAACGGAGUCCAGCCUUUAAGACCUUCGGGUCAAAGAGGGGAAGACUGAGUGGCGGACGGGUGAGUAACACGUGGGCAACCUGGCUCAUAGAGGGGGAUAACAGAGAGAAAUUUCUGCUAAUACCGCAUAAGCACACACUGCCGCAUGGCAGAGGGUGAAAAGAGAAUCGCUAUGAGAUGGAACCGCGUCUGAUUAGCCAGUUGGCAGGGUAAGAGCCUACCAAAGCGACGAUCAGUAGCCGAUCUGAGAGGAUGAACGGCCACAUUGGGACUGAGACACGGCCCAAACUCCUACGGGAGGCAGCAGUGGGGGAUAUUGCACAAUGGAGGGAACCCUGAUGCAGCGACGCCGCGUGAGUGAAGAAGUAUUUCGGUAUGUAAAGCUCUAUCAACAGGGAAGAUAAUGACAGUACCUGAAUAAGAAGCCCCGGCUAACUACGUG
RNAcentral lists this ribosomal RNA (476 nucleotides) under uncultured bacterium. RNAcentral's name for it is "partial 16S ribosomal RNA". It matches the Rfam family "Bacterial small subunit ribosomal RNA", at positions 30 to 507 of the family's 1533-position model. The record is from RNAcentral.